UACGUAGGGAGCAAGCGUUGUCCGGAUUUACUGGGUGUAAAGGGUGCGUAGGCGGGAACGCAAGUCAGGCGUGAAAUACCGGGGCUCAACUCCGGGGCUGCGCUUGAAACUGUGUUUCUUGAGUGAAGUAGAGGCAGGCGGAAUUCCUAGUGUAGCGGUGGAAUGCGUAGAUAUUAGGAGGAACACCAGUGGCGAAGGCGGCCUGCUGGGCUUUAACUGACGCUGAUGCACGAAAGCAUGGGGAGCAA
This 248-nucleotide ribosomal RNA is filed under the name uncultured Oscillospiraceae bacterium. RNAcentral's name for it is "partial 16S ribosomal RNA". It matches the Rfam family "Bacterial small subunit ribosomal RNA", at positions 524 to 771 of the family's 1533-position model. Lineage: Bacteria; Bacillati; Bacillota; Clostridia; Eubacteriales; Oscillospiraceae. The record is from RNAcentral.